Molecule: ribosomal RNA, 381 nt
Filed under: Cosmarium ovale
Lineage: Eukaryota; Viridiplantae; Streptophyta; Zygnematophyceae; Desmidiales; Desmidiaceae
Also listed under: 1 other name
Description: SSU rRNA
Rfam family: Eukaryotic small subunit ribosomal RNA
Source: RNAcentral
CCAGCUCCAAUAGCGUAUAUUUAAGUUGUUGCAGUUAAAAAGCUCGUAGUUGGAUUUUGGGUUGGAAAAUUCGGUCUGCCUACCGGUUGAUACUGUUUUUUCCAUCCUUCUUGCUGGCGACGUUUUCUGGUCUUCACUGGCUGGGAAAUGGAAUCAGCGAUGUUACUUUGAAAAAAUUAGAGUGUUCAAAGCAGGCCUAUGCUCUGAAUACAUUAGCAUGGAAUAACGCGAUAGGACUCUGGUUCUAUUGUGUUGGUCUUCGGGACCGGAGUAAUGAUUAAUAGGGACAGUUGGGGGCAUUCGUAUUUCAUUGUCAGAGGUGAAAUUCUUGGAUUUAUGAAAGACGAACUACUGCGAAAGCAUUUGCCAAGGAUGUUUUCA